GCUUAGUUGGUAGAGCACAAGACUCUUACCCUUGUGGACGUGGAUUCAAGCCCCAU
Molecule: transfer RNA, 56 nt
Filed under: Triticum aestivum (bread wheat)
Lineage: Eukaryota; Viridiplantae; Streptophyta; Magnoliopsida; Poales; Poaceae
Also listed under: 1 other name
Rfam family: tRNA
About the family: Transfer RNA (tRNA) molecules are approximately 80 nucleotides in length. Their secondary structure includes four short double-helical elements and three loops (D, anti-codon, and T loops). Further hydrogen bonds mediate the characteristic L-shaped molecular structure. tRNAs have two regions of fundamental functional importance: the anti-codon, which is responsible for specific mRNA codon recognition, and the 3' end, to which the tRNAs corresponding amino acid is attached (by aminoacyl-tRNA synthetases). tRNAs cope with the degeneracy of the genetic code in two manners: having more than one tRNA (with a specific anti-codon) for a particular amino acid; and 'wobble' base-pairing, i.e. permitting non-standard base-pairing at the 3rd anti-codon position.
Source: Rfam by way of RNAcentral